CUACGGGCCGCAGCAGUGGGGAAUAUUGCACAAUGGGCGCAAGCCUGAUGCAGCCAUGCCGCGUGUAUGAAGAAGGCCUUCGGGUUGUAAAGUACUUUCAGCGGGGAGGAAGGGAGUAAGGUUAAUACCUUUGCUCAUUGACGUUACCCGCAGAAGAAGCACCGGCUAACUCCGUGCCAGCAGCCGCGGUAAUACGGAGGGUGCAAGCGGUAAUCGGAAUUACUGGGCGUAAAGCGCACGCAGGCGGUUUGUUAAGUCAGAUGUGAAAUCCCCGGGCUCAACCUGGGAACUGCAUCUGAUACUGGCAAGCUUGAGUCUCGUAGAGGGGGGUAGAAUUCCAGGUGUAGCGGUGAAAUGCGUAGAGAUCUGGAGGAAUACCGGUGGCGAAGGCGGCCCCCUGGACGAAGACUGACGCUCAGGUGCGAAAGCGUGGGGAGCAAACAGGAUUAGAUACCCUCGUAGUC
RNAcentral lists this ribosomal RNA (464 nucleotides) under uncultured bacterium. Its description in RNAcentral is "partial 16S ribosomal RNA". It matches the Rfam family "Bacterial small subunit ribosomal RNA", at positions 339 to 795 of the family's 1533-position model. The record is from RNAcentral.